AAAUGUGAUAAUUGUUUGUAA
Molecule: microRNA, 21 nt
Filed under: Drosophila pseudoobscura pseudoobscura
Lineage: Eukaryota; Metazoa; Arthropoda; Insecta; Diptera; Drosophilidae
Description: mir-2564-RA
Source: RNAcentral